Molecule: non-coding RNA, 821 nt
Organism: Arachis ipaensis
Lineage: Eukaryota; Viridiplantae; Streptophyta; Magnoliopsida; Fabales; Fabaceae
Source: RefSeq, a predicted model, not a curated record
UCACACUUUUCAAUCUAUCCACAAAGUCACUGCCACCUGCUCCACUCUUCUCUGGUCUCUGCCAGCACCGUCGCGGUCCAAUCCGGCACUCGCUGCCAGUCUCAGCCCAUCUCCCGGCGUCGCUAUUAGGCUCUUUCUCCCCGUCGUUCAUUCUCAGUAUCUCUGUUCUAUCUUCUCUCUUCGAGUCGUCGUCAGCACCGUGGUGCUCCGUCUCCUCCUUCAUCCUCCACUUCCAGAGUUCCAAUGGAGCCUCAACCUCAGGAUGAUCAUGAAGGUGUUAGGAACGUGGAUGAUGACAACUUUAUAGACGACACUGGGGUGGAAGCUGGUGGUUACUAUUAGCAGUGAUGAACCUCGUUCUCUUGGUGAUGCUCCCCAAGUUGAUGAUUAAUUCUCCUGAAUUUUUUCUUUUUACUGCUAGAUUCUCCUGUAAGCAGAAUAGCAGAUCCACUGUGUUUGAUAUCCUUAUGAUUAGGAUAAUGUUUUGGUACCAGUAGCAUGUUGUAAACCAAAAUAUGUGAUGGAUGUAACUUAAGCUUUCUUUUCAUUUCAAGCUAUUUGGUCUCUUUUAUAACCAAAAUAUGAUCUAUUCCAAAAUAUGUUGAUUUUCUAAGCAGAGGAAGGUGAAGAGGAUGAUGAAAUUAAGGAUCUUUUCAAGAUAGGUAAGAAAAAGAAGAAGAAUGAGAGAAGUCUUGCAGAAAUAGCUUUAUUAGUUGAGAACGUCUGACUUCCGCGAUUCACAUUCCUGGAACAAACACGAUUCAGACUCCUGGAACCAACCACUAAACACUGAUCGAUAUUUCGGCCAAUCGGAAAGAAGA